Long non-coding RNA from Mus musculus (house mouse), 1358 nucleotides. RefSeq annotates it as predicted gene, 35378. The transcript has 2 exons. The record is from RefSeq and is a predicted model, not a curated record. Lineage: Eukaryota; Metazoa; Chordata; Mammalia; Rodentia; Muridae.
CCAUGGAUAUGAACCUCCCACAUAGCUAGGAGGGGAAAGAGGGCUGGAAGGUGAGAGUGAAGGUGAAAGAAGAGGCGGUGUGUGUCUGGAGGUGGGCCUGUCUUUUCACAUGGUCCCUCUACCAGGGCAUGAGAGCUAUGGGAGGUACAUGGGAGGGGAGGGGGGCAGGAGAGCGAGGUGGCACUCGAAACUUCUCCUUGAUGUAAGAUUAGUGCCAAGGCCAGUUUAGCGGCUCGGGGUGGUGCCCGUCAGGAUGAGCUAUCCAAACCACCCUCCCCCUCUUUCUGGUCCCCAUCCAGCAGCCCUGCUCCCCAACAAGCUUGCAUACCUACAACCUGUGCAUGGAGGUGGGGGCUUUCCCGAGUGUUUGGGGCGGUGGGAGAGCCAAGGGGACAGAGGGAAUAGGCAAGCCUUCUGCAAAGCUAGACCACUCAAGAGGUGCCAGCCUGUGCCAGCUCCACCCUGAUCGCAGCCUAUCCCUGAAACACCACAGGACUUGAGUUUGCAAGGCAAAGAAGGGAGAAGGGUUGUGAAGAGAAGCCAGCAAGAGAACAAAGGAGGCUUUGCCUGAGAAGAGAGGGAGGUACCUUCCACGGAGGCCUCAGGGCCUGGGGAAGGCCAGGCGUGUCUCCUUGGGCCCGGGGAAAUGGGGGUGUGUUCGCGUCCAAGAGGGCGUGGCCCGCGUCCGCCGCAGGGGCAGCCGCCCAGCCCUGAGCCCAGCCCAGCCCUUGCAGUCUAUUUCGUCCCAAACCGCAGCCACCUAGGGAGCCCUGGACCUCAUCCAGGACACAGAGGAUACACUGGUGACAUCCUAGACUCAGGCUUCAAGCAGCCAGCCUGCUUAGUCCUCAGCAGCUUCAGCCAGAGACCUACAUGGCCUGUGCCCUCCUGUGGGCCUGUGGCAGGAUCGGAUCAGCACCCUCGAAAACCUCAGCAUGGGGUGCAGGUCUUUGCCCGUGCAGACUCUAACUCUACUCCCGAAGUUUUUGUCCUGGUUUGCAAUCUCUGUCUUGUUUUUGGCAUGUUUUCUUUAGUGGAGUUGGGGGGGGGGGGUCUCACUCUGUAGCCCAAGCUGGCCUGAAACUCACUAUGUAGCCCUGGCUGGCCUCGAACUCUUGUCAGUCUUCCUGCCUCACUCUCUCAAGUGCUGGGAUGACAGGUGGGAACUGUCACUCCCAGCCUGGUUUGUAAUUUUUGGGUGAGUGGAUCCUAAGAGUCAGGCUCCAUGAUCAACUGUAAUUCUUCAGCCGUGGCUCUGGGACAGGGAACACUAUCCCCACAACAACCUCAUGGAUCACAAAGGGUGACUAUCACAUCUGGCUGUUCUGAUGGAAAUAAAGACAGAAUUCCAAAAUGAA